This 510-nucleotide long non-coding RNA is filed under the name Bos indicus x Bos taurus (hybrid cattle). RNAcentral's name for it is "lncRNA (ENSBIXG00005018381.1)". The record is from RNAcentral. Lineage: Eukaryota; Metazoa; Chordata; Mammalia; Artiodactyla; Bovidae.
AUGGACAGAAGCUCAGCCCUGCUGCCUCUCAAAACCCCACACGCCUGCCACCCUGAGCAGGACUCCACCGAUGGACGUCUCCUGAUGGCGGCUAAAGAAAAGGGGUCCUGUGCAGGAGGAGUUGAGGCAUCAUCACAGUUUGAGUUCCUUCGUAGUCUGGUCCAGUGUCCUCACAGAUCUCACAGGCUGGAGAGGUAAUCAAGCAUGAUCAGAGCCCUGGGGAGUUUCAGAUGAGCCCAGAUGCACCAAGAAGAAGGGGUGGCCAUCAGCAAGUCUUCAUGGAGUGGGCACCUUCUGAACUGGGCCUCUAAGGGUGAGUUAGUUAUCUAGCCGAAGACUGGCACUGGGUGCAAAGACAAAACACAAGGUGAGUGAAUGAACGGGACAUCCCUCAACACAGGAGGCAGCCCACCAAGACGGUAGCCUGAGAUCACAGGCCCCCCUGGGGAACUGGGGGAAGGGGCUGCAGUGUGCUGCCUGCCUCAACCCCCGUGUGAACUUUGCUGCCAC